Molecule: ribosomal RNA, 465 nt
Filed under: Vreelandella stevensii
Lineage: Bacteria; Pseudomonadati; Pseudomonadota; Gammaproteobacteria; Oceanospirillales; Halomonadaceae
Description: partial 16S ribosomal RNA
Rfam family: Bacterial small subunit ribosomal RNA
Source: RNAcentral
CCUACGGGAGGCAGCAGUGGGGAAUAUUGGACAAUGGGGGCAACCCUGAUCCAGCCAUGCCGCGUGUGUGAAGAAGGCCCUCGGGUUGUAAAGCACUUUCAGUGAGGAAGAACGCCUGGUGGUUAAUACCCAUCAGGAAAGACAUCACUCACAGAAGAAGCACCGGCUAACUCCGUGCCAGCAGCCGCAGUAAUACGGAGGGUGCGAGCGUUAAUCGGAAUUACUGGGCGUAAAGCGCGCGUAGGUGGCUUGAUAAGCCGGUUGUGAAAGCCCCGGGCUCAACCUGGGAACGGCAUCCGGAACUGUCAAGCUAGAGUGCAGGAGAGGAAGGUAGAAUUCCCGGUGUAGCGGUGAAAUGCGUAGAGAUCGGGAGGAAUACCAGUGGCGAAGGCGGCCUUCUGGACUGACACUGACACUGAGGUGCGAAAGCGUGGGUAGCAAACAGGAUUAGAUACCCCUGUAGUC